This 253-nucleotide ribosomal RNA is filed under the name uncultured bacterium. RNAcentral's name for it is "partial 16S ribosomal RNA". It matches the Rfam family "Bacterial small subunit ribosomal RNA", at positions 524 to 776 of the family's 1533-position model. The record is from RNAcentral.
GACGGAGGAUGCAAGCGUUAUCCGGAAUUAUUGGGCGUAAAGCGUCCGCAGGUGGCUGUUCAAGUCUGCUGUCAAAGCGCAGAGCUUAACUCUGUACAGGCGGUGGAAACCGAAGAGCUAGAGUAUGGUAGGGGUAGAGGGAAUUCCCGGUGUAGCGGUGAAAUGCGUAGAUAUCGGGAAGAACACCAGUGGCGAAAGCGCUCUACUGGGCCAUAACUGACACUGAGGGACGAAAGCUAGGGGAGCGAAAGGG